GCCGACAUGGUGAAACUGGUAGACACGCCAUCUUGAGGGGGUGGUAAGCUUAGCUUGUGUGAGUUCAAAUCUCACUGUCGGCACCA
RNAcentral lists this transfer RNA (86 nucleotides) under Aquella oligotrophica. RNAcentral's name for it is "tRNA-Leu". It matches the Rfam family "tRNA". From Rfam's summary of the family: Transfer RNA (tRNA) molecules are approximately 80 nucleotides in length. Their secondary structure includes four short double-helical elements and three loops (D, anti-codon, and T loops). The record is from RNAcentral. Lineage: Bacteria; Pseudomonadati; Pseudomonadota; Betaproteobacteria; Neisseriales; Neisseriaceae.